UGCGGUCAAGCCAGCCGCACUUCAGAAAAACACCGUCAAGCCAGCCGCGAGUGAAAUUUAGAUGCGCGUGUAUUACGGUAAUCACGGUAAUGGCAGGAACAACAGAGAGGAAACGCGCUUUCAGAGCGCUUUUCAUCUACACGUUCAGAUUUGAUAUAUGAUGACCUUUUUUGCCCAUCUGCUCUAAUAUUCGUGUAACUUAUUGUUUUCCUUGACUGUUCUGUAUUACUAUAAUUUUCAACCUUUCAAAGCAUUACAAUAUUAGUAGAAAACGAGAUAUGGGACAUUCAUUGAUUUAGAAGACACUUUUUUAUGAUGAGAAAAAACAAUUAAAGGUCAGUUCUUAAAAAAGACAUCCCAUACUAUAUCUAUACCUCAUAUAAAACCAUUUUACUGGAGCCUUUUCGAGAUAUAGGAUAAUAUUACACUUUACAAGUCUAUUAAGAUCCCAUUUCUAAUAAGUAGAAAAAAACAAUGGUCAGUUCUUAUAAAGGACAUGCCAUACUAUAUGCACACCUCAUAUCAAACCAUUCUACUGCAGCAUUUUAGAGAUAUUGGACAUUAUUACACUUUAAAGGGCUAUAAAAGAUCCAAUGUCUAAUAAGUAGAAAAAACAAUAGUUGGUUCUUAUAAGGGACGUCCCAUACCAUAUGCACAC
Carassius carassius (crucian carp) is the source of this 658-nucleotide long non-coding RNA. RefSeq lists it as uncharacterized. The record is from RefSeq and is a predicted model, not a curated record. The transcript is spliced from 2 exons. Lineage: Eukaryota; Metazoa; Chordata; Actinopteri; Cypriniformes; Cyprinidae.